UGUAGUCUCGCACAGAUGCAUAUCAAUAAGCGGAGGAAAAGAAACUAACAAGGAUUCCCCUAGUAACGGCGAGUGAAGCGGGAAGAGCUCAAAUUUGAAAUCUUAAAGGGUUCUCCCUUGACGAAUUGUAGUUUAAAGAAGUGUUUUCUGUUGAGGUUUUGGUAAAAGUUCUUUGGAAUAGGACAUCAUAGAGGGUGAGAAUCCCGUAUUUGACCUUUACUUUCAACUUUGUGAUACACUUUCAAAGAGUCGGAUUGUUUGGGAAUGCAGUCCAAAAUGGGUGGUAAAUUUCAUCUAAAGCUAAAUAUUGGCGAGAGACCGAUAGCGAACAAGUACCGUGAGGGAAAGAUGAAAAGAACUUUGAAAAGAGAGUUAAACAGUACGUGAAAUUGUCAAAAGGGAAGCGUUUGACACCAGUGUUGUUUUUCUGAAAAUCAAUUAAAGAACUGUUUAUGCUAAGUUGUUUAGACUUUAUCAGCUAACUGUUUAGUUUUGAGCUUUUCUUUAAUGCACUUUUCAGUUAACAAGUCAACAUCAAUUUCUUUUGCUGUAAAAAAGCUUGAGGAAGGUGGCUUGAGAUUCGUCUUAAGUGUUUAUAGCCUCUUGCCUAUGCAGUCGGAGAGAUUGAGGUCUGCAGCGUAGAUCCUUCGGGGCUAAAUGCAUUUGUGCUAAGUUAUAGCAUUUUAUAGACAACUUGUUGACUAUGAUUUGUCUUGUAGCUUACUCGCUUAUGUUAUUUUACCUACGCUUAGGAUGUUGAACUCUAUCACACACAG
Molecule: ribosomal RNA, 776 nt
Filed under: uncultured Neocallimastigales
Lineage: Eukaryota; Fungi; Neocallimastigomycota; Neocallimastigomycetes; Neocallimastigales
Description: partial large subunit ribosomal RNA
Rfam family: Eukaryotic large subunit ribosomal RNA
Source: RNAcentral